UAGAAGCUGGAAUAUUUUGUUUUUGCUGUAUUACUUUGAGAUAUUUAUAUGUAACCAUUCUGCUUAGCUUCUAGCACACCAACAGUUUCUAUUCAACCAGAUGUUUCAGGUGCUUGGGACUGGCCCAGCAAACCAGGUGGCCUAGGUAUGGGAAGUAGGUCAGCUGCCACCAGUCCUACGGGAUCCCUUCACAGCACUCCCACUCAUCAUCCCAAACCCCAAACACUGGAUCCAUUUGCUGAUUUGGGCACUCUUGGAGCAAGUUUAGCAGGCGCUCCUUCGUUUGCCAGCAAACCCACCACCCCGACGGGGCUCGGCGGGGGCUUCCCCCCGUCGCCGCAGAGACCCUCUC
This is a non-coding RNA of Tinamus guttatus (white-throated tinamou), 352 nucleotides long. Lineage: Eukaryota; Metazoa; Chordata; Aves; Tinamiformes; Tinamidae. The record is from RefSeq and is a predicted model, not a curated record.